GUGCCAGCCGCCGCGGUAAUACGGAAGGUCCGGGCGUUAUCCGGAUUUAUUGGGUUUAAAGGGAGCGUAGGCGGUAUUUUAAGCGUGUUGUGAAAUGUAGAUGCUCAACAUCUGAAUUGCAGCGCGAACUGGAGUACUUGAGUGCGCAGGAAGUUGGCGGAAUUCGUCGUGUAGCGGUGAAAUGCUUAGAUAUGACGAAGAACUCCGAUUGCGAAGGCAGCUGACUCGUAGCUCUAACUCGACGCUGAAGCUCGAAAGUUGCGGGUAUCGAACAGGAUUAGAUACCCUGGUAGUCCGCACGGUAAACGAUGGAUGCUCGCUGUUCGGCCUUCGGGUUGAGCGGCUAACGGAAACCAUUAAGCAUCCCACCUGGGGAGUACGCCGGCAACGGUGAAACUCAAAGGAAUUGACGGGGGCCCGCACAAGCGGAGGAACAUGUGGUUUAAUUCGAUGAUACGCGAGGAACCUUACCCGGGCUUGAACUUGCAGGUGAACGAUACAGAGAUGUUGAGGUCCUUCGGGACACCUGUGGAGGUGCUGCAUGGUUGUCGUCAGCUCGUGCCGUGAGGUGUCGGCUUAAGUGCCAUAACGAGCGCAACCCCUGUCCUUAGUUGCCAUCACUUCGGGUGGGCACUCUGGGGAUACUGCCACCGUAAGGUGUGAGGAAGGUGGGGAUGACGUCAAAUCAGCACGGCCCCUUACGUCCGGGGCUACACACGUGUUACAAUGGCGUGUACAGAGAGUUGGUACUGGGCAAUCAGUAUCUAUCAAUAAAACACGUCUCAGUUCGGAUUGGGGUCUGCAACCCGACCCCAUGAAGCUGGAUUCGCUAGUAAUCGCGCAUCAGCCAUGGCGCGGUGAAUACGUUCCCGGGCCUUGUACACACCGCCCGU
RNAcentral lists this ribosomal RNA (893 nucleotides) under uncultured equine intestinal bacterium YT5. RNAcentral's name for it is "bacterial SSU rRNA". It matches the Rfam family "Bacterial small subunit ribosomal RNA", at positions 505 to 1397 of the family's 1533-position model. The record is from RNAcentral.